RNAcentral lists this unclassified non-coding RNA (286 nucleotides) under uncultured fungus. RNAcentral's name for it is "partial contains small subunit ribosomal RNA, internal transcribed spacer 1, and 5.8S ribosomal RNA". The stretch from base 1 to 73 matches the Rfam family "Eukaryotic small subunit ribosomal RNA", at positions 1759 to 1831 of the family's 1831-position model. Lineage: Eukaryota; Fungi. The record is from RNAcentral.
GCAAACUUGGUCAUUUAGAGGAAGUAAAAGUCGUAACAAGGUUUCCGUAGGUGAACCUGCGGAAGGAUCAUUAAAGAGUACCGGAGCUCUCGGGCUCCUACUCCCACCCUAUGUUGACUUUAAAUGUUGCUUUGGCGGACCUGCAAUCUUGCCACCGGCCUAGGCUGGAUAGUGUCCGCCGGAGGAUUUUUGAAUUCCCUUGACGGUGAACUCUGAAGUUAUCGAAAAUUGAAUCAAAACUUUCAACAACGGAUCUCUUGGUUCUGGCAUCGAUGAAGAACGCAGC